Long non-coding RNA from Ictalurus punctatus (channel catfish), 2878 nucleotides. NCBI's taxonomy places the organism in Eukaryota, Metazoa, Chordata, Actinopteri, Siluriformes, Ictaluridae. The record is from Ensembl.
CAGCACUGAUUUAACAUCAGUGGAAUUACAUUCAAAAAACAGAGCUCAGAAUUUUUCCGAAUUAGAUUAUUGCUCUGUAUCCUUAUUUCCACCAAAGGCCAGACCUGGUGGUUCCAGGGUUUCUGGUCCAUGUCCACAGGACCUAACCAGGAACCCAGGACAUCUUGAGACUCUCCUGCGCAAAAAAAAUAAACCUUAAUGUUACCACCCUCGUCAGCACGUUAAUUCAUCACCAUGAAAUUAGAAGAGUGUGCAAUAACGUGCCAAAAAAAAAAAAAAAAUUCCUGGGCCUUAGGUUUACGCUUUUUUCCUGAGCUAAAAUUGCUGGACUAAAAUUGUUGUACUGUAGUUCCCAGGCAUUAGUUCCUGAGCUAAAAUUCUUGAACUGAAAAUAUGCACUUUAGUUGCAUUGCUACGCUUCCUGGACAUACAUUCCUCUGCUUCCUGGGCUAAAGUUUCAGACUAACACUGCUGAAGUUCUUGAACUGUAUUCCCCAGGCAUUAGUUCCUGGGCUUAUAUUAUUUGGACUUAAGAUCCUUGAGUGAAAAAACAAUGUGGUCUUAAGUUCCUGGACUUAAAUUCCUCUGCUUAAGUUGCUGGACCAAAGUUCUCUGCUUAUGUCCCUGACCCUAAAUUGAUGUCUUUCAUUCCUAGGCGAAGGUUCCUGGGCUUAAAUCCAUGGGUUUAAGUUCCUGGGGUAAAUUUGCUGGACUUUAAGUUUCCACCCUAAGGUUCCUGGACUAAAGUGGGGGACGAAAAGUGCUAGGUUAAAGUUCUUGAACUAACUUUCAAAGGCAUUAGUUCCUGGGCUUAAAUUCUUGGACUUAAGAUCCUGGACUGAAAAUAUUGUCAUAAGUUUGUUUGCUAGAAUUUCCAGACCUUUGCUUAAGUUGCUGGUCUAAAGGUGUUCCUUUAAAGGUGUUCCUUUAGACCAGCAGCUUAAGCAGAGGUCUGGGAAUUCUAGCAAACAAACUUAUGACAAUUACCGGAAUAAAGUUGCUGGGUCUUAAAAGUCUGUCCUUGGUCUAAACUUUCCCUGGUCUAAAGUGACUGGAUGGCAGUUCUUAGACUAUAGUUCCCAGACAUCAGUUCCUGGCUAAAAAAAUAUGGUCAUAAUUCUGCUGUUUAGUUUUCUGGAAUAAAUGUCUCUUCCUAAUUCCUGGCCUUAAAUUCCUUGGCUAAAGUUCCCAGUCUUAUGUUCGGGGCUACUGUUUUGGACUGACGUUCCUGGGCUGAAAUUUCUGAGCUUAGGUCUCUGGAAUAAAGUUCCUGGGCCUUAAGUUUCUGGAUAAGGUUCCUGGAUUGAGGUGGCCAUUAAAAUUGCUGAACUAAACGUCUUGGAUUAUAUUUCCCCAGACAUUAGUUCCUGGAUUUAAACUCCUUCAUGGAGGUUGCUGGAUUUAAGUUUCUGGGCUAAAAUUGCUGUGCGGAAACUUCUUAAGCUAAAGUGUUAACAUUUCUGGAUUUAAAUUGCUCUGCUUAAGUUCUUGACCUUAAGCUCUUUGACUAAAGUGAAGAUCCAGGUAUAAAAUUCCUGGACUUAAGUUCCCAGACUGAAGCAUUGGACUAAACUUGCUGGACUUAAGUUUCUAGGCUAAAGGCCAGAGUAUAAAGUUCCUGAGUUUAUUCCUGGGCCUGAAUUUCUGCUUAGCAGAUUUUGGACUAAAGUUUCUGGCCUCCUCAGCAGAAAUACAGCUGCUGUGGUUUAACCAAAUUCCUGACAUCGAUCGUUUUAGGAUAACGCUUACGUUCUCAUUGAUUACCUUCGCUCCUGAUGCCUUACACUGUGUCGCGUUACAGUAUCAUUACAGACGGUGACAUGGUCACAUGCUGGGAUGCGUUUUAGCGGUGACGCAAUGCAACAAAAAGCAAGUCGGCUGUAAUCAACUUAACAGUUAUUCACAAAGAAUAUUACACUUCAGACAUUUUUUACUUGCCUAUUAAACAUGGACAAUAUUAGACACCAUAGCCGGGGGUUAGUAUUUCCUCCCAUCGUUACUCAUGAAUGUGUUUUUGUGCUACAUUUGGACUCUUUUUUUAUGCAUUCGAGUUUUGAUUAUUUAAAAAAAAAGAAAAAGAAAAAGUGAAGCUUUUGCAGAUGUGGCCUGUGUAUUGUUGCAGCUAUGUGAGGUGCUUAUUAAUGAAGUUAUGUGUGCAGUGCAUUGUGGGAUUUCUCUCGCGGGUUCCUCACAGACCCCCUUAAUUGGUUUCCACUCUCAAAAGCGUACAGUUCUUUCAGUAAGUGUGAGAUGCAGGGUGAAAACACCAAACCUCGUAAGUCUGUCCCACCCCCCAACCCCCCUCAGUUAUUCUCACCGGCGCAGGACAGCAUUUCGGUCUUCUGUUGGAUUUUUUGUUUUUAAUUGCCAAGAAUGUCUGUUCAUCCCUUAUUCCCAAACGCAGCCAUGCGCGCAACAAAUCUAGAUUAUUCGGUACCGAAUUCUUGGUACAGUGUUUUCCGUAGAAUACGUAGAUCUAGGGUAUAAUCCAUAAUCUGGAAAACUGGACAAGUUAGUAUACUGACUGCUAAUUCUAGAUGUUAAAGGCUCAGGACUAGUUUUAAUCAGUGCCCAGAAACGGUUUUAUUUACAAGGGCCUAGGAUUGAAUUUUUUUUUUCCCCUAACGUUUAUUUAGUUAUUUAUUGUGGCUUAUUUAUUUUUAUUCCUAGUUACUUGUAGUCCGAUCCUCAGUUUGGGUUACAUUCUGCCCCUCACCAUGUGGCUUUAAUUUGGGUUUUCCAGUUUCCUCUCACCUCCCUAAAACAUACCAGUGAGGGAAUUGGUUAAGAUAAAUCACCCCCUAGGUCUGAACGAGUGUGUGAAAGUGUGUGUGUGUGUGUGUAGGUGUGUGUGGUGCCCUGCGAUGUACUGGCAUCC